This 88-nucleotide transfer RNA is filed under the name Ignavibacteria bacterium. RNAcentral's name for it is "tRNA-Ser". It matches the Rfam family "tRNA". Rfam says of the family: Transfer RNA (tRNA) molecules are approximately 80 nucleotides in length. The record is from RNAcentral. Lineage: Bacteria; Pseudomonadati; Ignavibacteriota; Ignavibacteria.
GGAGAGGUGGGUGAGUGGCUGAAACCAACGGUUUGCUAAACCGUCGUAGGGGUAAACUCUACCGCGGGUUCGAAUCCCGCCCUCUCCG